GAUGGGGGGAGAGGCCCUGCAACGCCCAUAUGUGCCCCCACGGCCCUGUUAGGGACAGGAGGAGAACCUCGCCCUAACAUGAGCAAAGUCGAAGGCCCGAUUACACUGAGACCGGAUGGGGGGAGAGACCCUGCAAUGCCCAUAUGUGCCCCCAUAGCCCUGUUAGGGACAGAAGGAGAAUCUCGCCCUAACUUGAGCAAAGUCGUAGGCCCGGUGAC
Molecule: long non-coding RNA, 218 nt
Filed under: Elaeis guineensis (African oil palm)
Lineage: Eukaryota; Viridiplantae; Streptophyta; Magnoliopsida; Arecales; Arecaceae
Description: long non-coding RNA (EGUI_LNC079338)
Source: RNAcentral